Dipodomys ordii (Ord's kangaroo rat) is the source of this 140-nucleotide non-coding RNA. Lineage: Eukaryota; Metazoa; Chordata; Mammalia; Rodentia; Heteromyidae. The record is from Ensembl.
GGGCUUGGUUUCCUGGGAGGUAGGCUCAGCCUAUUCUACCUCUCCUCAGCCAAGCCUAGAAUAGAGGGUCCAGGCUUCCUUCUUUAUGGAAGAGGCAUUGGAGGAAGGAGCCUCAUCUGGGCUGGCCUGGCCUUACAUUU